UUGCUUCGAGAUUUCGAUCAAGAAGCAGGUGGUGAGAGUGGCGAACGGGUGAGUAACGCGUGGGCAACCUACCCCUCAGUGGGGGAUAGCCCUCCGAAAGGAGGGGUAAUACCGCAUGUGGUGAUCCGGCUCAUGCCGGUGAAUCCAAAGGUGGGGAUCCUUCGGGACCUGCCGCUGAGGGAUGGGCCCGCGUCCCAUCAGCUUGUUGGUAGGGUGAUGGCCUACCAAGGCGAAGACGGGUAGCUGGUCUGAGAGGAUGGUCAGCCACACUGGGACUGAGACACUGCCCAGACUCCUACGGGAGGCUGCAGUCGAGAAUCAUUCGCAAUGCACGAAAGUGUGACGAUGCGACGCCGCGUGGGGGAUGAAGGCCUUCGGGUUGUAAACCCCUGUCAUGAGGGACCAACGAGCCGGCCGUGAACAGCGGCCGGAAGUGAGUGUACCUCAAGAGGAAGCCACGGCUAACUCUGUGCCAGCAGCCGCGGUAAUACAGAGGUGGCGAGCGUUGUUC
This 511-nucleotide ribosomal RNA is filed under the name uncultured bacterium. RNAcentral describes it as "bacterial SSU rRNA". It matches the Rfam family "Bacterial small subunit ribosomal RNA", at positions 67 to 546 of the family's 1533-position model. The record is from RNAcentral.